UACCUGCAGCUCUAGUGGUGUCCGCUAUUAUUGGGCCUAAAACGUCCGUAGCCGGCUUAUUAAAUGCCUGGGUAAAUCGUACGGCUUAACCGUACGAAUUCCGGGUAGACUGAUAAGCUUGGGACCGGGAGAAGCUAGAGGUACUCCUGGGGUAGAGGUGAAGUUUUGUAAUCCUAGGGGGACCACCAGUGGCGAAGGCGUCUAGCUAGAACGGGUUUGACGGUGAGGGACGAAGCCCUGGGGAGCAAACGGGAUUAGAUACCCCGGUAGUCCAGGGUGUAAACGCUGCUUGCUUGAUGUUAGUCGGCUCCGAGCCCGAUUAGUGUCGGAGAGAAGUUGUUAAGCAAGCUGCCUGGGAAGUACGGCCGCAAGACUGAAACUUAAAGGAAUUGGCGGGGAGCACUGCAACGGGUGGAGCGUGCGGUUU
Molecule: ribosomal RNA, 427 nt
Filed under: uncultured archaeon
Lineage: Archaea
Description: bacterial SSU rRNA
Rfam family: Archaeal small subunit ribosomal RNA
Source: RNAcentral